Long non-coding RNA from Orcinus orca (killer whale), 646 nucleotides. RefSeq lists it as uncharacterized. The transcript is spliced from 5 exons. The record is from RefSeq and is a predicted model, not a curated record. Lineage: Eukaryota; Metazoa; Chordata; Mammalia; Artiodactyla; Delphinidae.
GAUCGUUGUGUUUACCACAAUGGAAUAGGAAUAGUAAACUCAAAAUUUAGUUUUAAUGGUUGAUAAAUACAAUGAUGGGCUUAUAGAACUCUAGGGGUCUUAAGAGAACAUCUCACGACGUCUACUCCUUUUACAGAUGAAGAAACCCAGAGAGGGGAAUGACUGCAGCAGAUUGAACAUCUUCUCUAACGUUCAGGCCAUACUCUUUAGUUUUCCAGUUUCAGUAACGAUGCAUCACCACUCUUGACACCACCAAAAGCCAACAAAGAAAAUACUUUGACGGAGGGAAUAAUACCUUCUUAUUCUUUGGAAGGCAGCUGAGACUGGUGGCAUGGACAAGACUUCUGGAAGCAGAAUAUCUGUAUUUUAAUGAGAUUUGGGAGAGAAGACAUUCUGCUCCUGGAUGACGGUGUUGGCUUGUGCCCACGGAGUUUCAUUCCAUUCAUGAUGCUUCUGUCCUGAUGGCCUGGCCUGUGGAUUUCUGGCUUGCUGAUUUAGCCCUCAUAAAUAACCAUCUGCUGACCAGUCUGCGGUUAAAUGAAACAUCCGCUUUGCUUUCCUCUACCAAUGGACUACAGAGAGGAUUUGAGCAUCUACAGAGCAUCUGUAGAAGUUGACAGAGACUGACCAUCAUGUAAUACUGGUG